Molecule: ribosomal RNA, 252 nt
Filed under: uncultured bacterium
Lineage: Bacteria
Description: partial 16S ribosomal RNA
Rfam family: Bacterial small subunit ribosomal RNA
Source: RNAcentral
UACGUAGGGGGCUAGCGUUAUCCGGAAUUACUGGGCGUAAAGGGUGCGUAGGUGGUUUCUUAAGUCAGAGGUGAAAGGCUACGGCUCAACCGUAGUAAGCCUUUGAAACUGGGAAACUUGAGUGCAGGAGAGGAGAGUGGAAUUCCUAGUGUAGCGGUGAAAUGCGUAGAUAUUAGGAGGAACACCAGUUGCGAAGGCGGCUCUCUGGACUGUAACCGGCACUGAGGCACGAAAGCGUGGGGAGCAGACAGG